GAUUAACGCUGGCGGCGUGCAUAACACAUGCAAGUCGAACGAUGAAACUUAAAUGAUUUCUUCGGAAUGAACUUAAGUGGAUUAGUGGCGGACGGGUGAGUAACGCGUGAGUAACCUGCCUUACACAAGGGGAUAGCCGUUGGAAACGACGAAUAAUACCCUAUGAAACUAUCACUUCGCAUGAAGCGAUAGUCAAAGUGUUAGCGGUGUAAGAUGGACUUGCGUCUGAUUAGCUAGUUGGUGAGAAAAAAGCCCACCAAGGCAACGAUCAGUAGCCGGCGUGAGAGAGGGUACGGCGACAUUGGGACUGAGACACGGCCCAGACGCCUACGGGAGGCAGCAGUGGGGAAUUUUGCACAAUGGGGGAAACCCUGAUGCAGCGACGCCGCGUGAUUUAGAAGGCCUUCGGGUUGUAAAAAUCUUUUGUAUAGGAAGAAAAUGACAGUACUAUACGAAUAAGGUCCGGCUAAUUACGUG
This 477-nucleotide ribosomal RNA is filed under the name uncultured bacterium. RNAcentral's name for it is "partial 16S ribosomal RNA". It matches the Rfam family "Bacterial small subunit ribosomal RNA", at positions 28 to 507 of the family's 1533-position model. The record is from RNAcentral.